This 253-nucleotide ribosomal RNA is filed under the name uncultured bacterium. RNAcentral's name for it is "partial 16S ribosomal RNA". It matches the Rfam family "Bacterial small subunit ribosomal RNA", at positions 524 to 776 of the family's 1533-position model. The record is from RNAcentral.
UACGUAGGGUGCGAGCGUUGUCCGGAAUUACUGGGCGUAAAGAGCUCGUAGGUGGUUUGUCGCGUUGUUCGUGAAAACUCACAGCUCAACUGUGGGCGUGCGGGCGAUACGGGCAGACUGGAGUACUGCAGGGGAGACUGGAAUUCCUGGUGUAGCGGUGGAAUGCGCAGAUAUCAGGAGGAACACCGGUGGCGAAGGCGGGUCUCUGGGCAGUAACUGACGCUGAGGCACGAAGGUCAGGGGAGCAAACGGG